GAUGGAGUACGAGUAACACCUAAAUUCAACAAUUACGUCGAUGCAUAGUUUCAGUACUGUUCAACUGGUACGGGUUCUCUGGAUCUGAGUAUAUAUAUGAAAUAAAUGUAGUGAAAAGUACAUAACACAAGCAUGAAGCAUGCCCAUGCUGUCAAAGAGAAAGUGAAAAUGCCCAUAGGGUUGAAGAAAAUAUGAUCACUUUCUGUUAGAUCCUGACUGGGACUUGCAAUUAACUUGCAAGUAGUGCAUGAAGAAACGGAACUGGGAAAAGCAAGUCAUCUUUUCCAGAAGGAAA
RNAcentral lists this long non-coding RNA (295 nucleotides) under Setaria viridis. RNAcentral's name for it is "long non-coding RNA (SVIR_LNC006550)". Lineage: Eukaryota; Viridiplantae; Streptophyta; Magnoliopsida; Poales; Poaceae. The record is from RNAcentral.